AUCGCAAAACUCCCAGCCUCGCCGCCUCCAGAGCUGUUCUUCUCACCUUUUCAUCAAACCCUUUUCGUUCGACUUUCUUCGUCAUCCAUCCUGCUUGUUAGCAAUUCCUGGCCACGCGCCCCAAGCUUGUCGAGGUUCCUAUACUUUCUCCUAAGAAAGAUCAGAUAUUGUUGAAAGUGGAAGCUGCAACUUUGAAUCCAAUUGAUUGGAAAAUUCAGAAAGGCAUAGUGCGACCAUUCUUGCCUCCAAAAUUUCCAUUUAUACCAGUCCAGAUAUGUUGAAGGCAUUCCAUUAGAUGGUAUAUUUGUUCAUCCUUCCAUGGUUGAAAUGUUGGAUGCUACUAUAGAGGAUGCCAUUGAGCAUGGUAACUGGUAUCAUUCAUUUCAUCACACUCAAUUCAGAACAAGUCCAGUGAUUGUUUGUACGAGAAGUCAUGUGUGUUGAAUGUAGCAAUUAUGUAAUUUGUUCCAAGUUUAUGUGAUUUGUUACAAAUUUAUGAAUUUAGCAUAUUUAUUGUUUUUUGAAUCGAACUCGAACCGAACUCGAGCCGAAGAUUAAAAUUUCGAACUCAAACCGAAUUUGA
This is a long non-coding RNA of Dioscorea cayenensis subsp. rotundata (Guinea yam), 583 nucleotides long. RefSeq lists it as uncharacterized. The record is from RefSeq and is a predicted model, not a curated record. The transcript has 4 exons. NCBI's taxonomy places the organism in Eukaryota, Viridiplantae, Streptophyta, Magnoliopsida, Dioscoreales, Dioscoreaceae.